This 527-nucleotide ribosomal RNA is filed under the name Capitulum mitella. RNAcentral's name for it is "partial large subunit ribosomal RNA". It matches the Rfam family "Bacterial large subunit ribosomal RNA", at positions 1809 to 2611 of the family's 2925-position model. Lineage: Eukaryota; Metazoa; Arthropoda; Thecostraca; Pollicipedomorpha; Pollicipedidae. The record is from RNAcentral.
AAAAACAUUUCCUCUUGGUAUAAGAGGUAAGGCCUGCUCACUGACUAGGUUGAAGAGCCGCAGUAUAUUGACUGUGCUAAGGUAGCAUAAUCAUUAGUCCUUUAAUUGGGGACUGGUAUGAAUGGCUAAACGAGAAAUUAGCUUUCUUUGUUAUGGUUUGUUGAAUUUAACUUGUAAGUGAAAAGGCUUACAUGAUUCAGAAAGACGAGAAGACCCUAUAGAGUUUUACAAAGGCCUAAAAUACAGCUUAUUAGUUUUUAAGGGUUAUAUCUUGGAAAUUUGUUUGGUUGGGGCGACAUAAAGAUAAAAAAAACUCUUUGUAGUAUAAACUUUGGUGGAAGAAAAGGUUUGAUCCUCUAAAAGGGAUUAUAAGAAAAAAUUACCUUAGGGAUAACAGCGUAAUCUUCUUUUAGAGUUCAAAUCGACAAGAAGGUUUGCGACCUCGAUGUUGGACUAAAAUUUGGGCAAGGUGCAGCAGCUUUGUUUUUGGGUCUGUUCGACCCGUAAUAUUUUACAUGAUCUGAGUU